Molecule: ribosomal RNA, 691 nt
Filed under: uncultured Candidatus Saccharibacteria bacterium
Lineage: Bacteria; Candidatus Saccharimonadota
Description: bacterial SSU rRNA
Rfam family: Bacterial small subunit ribosomal RNA
Source: RNAcentral
GGGGAGCGAACCGGAUUAGAUACCCGGGUAGUCCACGCCGUAAACGAUGGAUACUAGCUGUUGGAGGUAUCGACCCCUUCAGUAGCGAAGCUAACGCGUUAAGUAUCCCGCCUGUGGAGUACGGCCGCAAGGCUAAAACAUAAAGGAAUUGACGGGGACCCGCACAAGCGGUGGAUUAUGUUCUUUAAUUCGAUGAUAACCGAAGAACCUUACCAGGGCUUGACAUCCAGGGAAGGUCUGCGAAAGUAGACUGUGCCUUUUGGAACCCUGUGACAGGUGAUGCAUGGCCGUCGUCAGCUCGUGUCGUGAGAUGUUAGGUUAAGUCCUUCAACGAGCGCAACCCUUGUGAAUAGUUGUAUUUUUCUAUUCAGACUGCCCCGGUAACGGGGAGGAAGGAGGGGAUGAUGUCAGGUCAGUAUUUCCCUUACGUCCUGGGCUAGAAACGUAAUACAAUGGCUAGUACAAUGCGCANGCGAAGCCGCGAGGUGAAGCAAAUCGCAUCAAAGCUAGUCCCAGUUCGGAUUGUAGGCUGAAACUCGCCUGCAUGAAGUCGGAAUCGCUAGUAAUCGCAAAUCAGCAAGUUGCGGUGAAUACGUUCCCGGGUCUUGUACACACCGCCCGUCAAACCAUGAAAGUGACCAACACCCGAAGUCCGAUUCGUCGGCCUAAGGUGGGGGGCAUGAUUGGGGUU